GCCAGACUCCUACGGGAGGCAGCAGUAGGGAAUUUUGCGCAAUGGGGGAAACCCUGACGCAGCAACGCCGCGUGAUUGAUGAAGCCCUUCGGGGUGUAAGGAUCUGUCAGUGGGGACGAAACUUGGCGGUACCCACAGAGGAAGCAUCGGCUAACUCCGUGCCAGCAGCCGCGGUAAUACGGGGGAUGCAAGCGUUAUCCGGAUUUACUGGGUGUAAAGGGAGCGUAGACGGUGAUGCAAGUCAGAAGUGAAAGCCCGGGGCUCAACUCCGGGACUGCUUUUGAAACUGUGUGACUGGAGUGCAGGAGAGGUAAGCGGAAUUCCUGGUGUAGCGGUGAAAUGCGUAGAUAUCAGGAGGAACACCAGUGGCGAAGGCGGCUUACUGGACUGUAACUGACGUUGAGGCUCGAAAGCGUGGGGAGCAAACAGGAUUAGAUACCCGCGUAAG
This 448-nucleotide ribosomal RNA is filed under the name uncultured bacterium. Its description in RNAcentral is "bacterial SSU rRNA". It matches the Rfam family "Bacterial small subunit ribosomal RNA", at positions 330 to 793 of the family's 1533-position model. The record is from RNAcentral.